This 587-nucleotide long non-coding RNA is filed under the name Phasianus colchicus (ring-necked pheasant). Its description in RNAcentral is "lncRNA (ENSPCLG00000017549.1)". The record is from RNAcentral. Lineage: Eukaryota; Metazoa; Chordata; Aves; Galliformes; Phasianidae.
AGUAUCAACCAGUAUAGACCUGCAUGGACCAGUAUUGACCGCUGUUUCGACCAGUAUGGACCAGUAUAGACCGGUAUCAACCAGUAUAGACCAGUAUCGACCAGUAUGGACCAGUAUGGACCAGUAUAGACCACUAUGGACCAGUAUAGACCAGUAUUGACCAGUAUAGACCAGUAUAGACCAGUAUCAACCAAUAUAGACCAGCAUGGACCAGUAUAGAACACUGUUUCGACCAGUAUAGACCAGUAUCGACCAGUAUCAACCAGUAUGGACCAGUAUCAAUCAGCAUGGACCAGUAUAGCCCCUCCCAGUCCCUCCCAGUAUAAACCAGUCCCUCCCAGUCCCUCCCAGUCCCAUCCCAGUCCAUCCCAGUCUCAUCCCAGUCCCUCCCAGUAUAACCCACUCCCAUCCCAGUAUAACCCAGUCCCUCCCAGUCCCUCCCAGUAUAGCCCAGUCCCAUCCCAGUCCAUCCCAGUCCCUUCCAGUCGAUCCCAGUCCCAUCCCAGUCCCAUCCCAGUCCAUCCCAGUAUAGCCCAGUCCCAUCCCAGUAUAACCCACUUCCAUCCCAGUCCCUCCCAGUCCCAUCC